Molecule: long non-coding RNA, 135 nt
Organism: Prionailurus viverrinus (fishing cat)
Lineage: Eukaryota; Metazoa; Chordata; Mammalia; Carnivora; Felidae
Exons: 3
Source: RefSeq, a predicted model, not a curated record
UGUGAAUAAGAGUCAGGGAAUCACCAGGGCCCUGGGGUCCCCAGCCGCUUCUUUGGGUCCAAAGAUGCCUCGGCCAAUGCAGGGCUUCUGCUCAUCUCUGGGCCACAGCCUGAGGACAAGGUUGACUCUUCCUGU